Molecule: ribosomal RNA, 165 nt
Filed under: uncultured bacterium
Lineage: Bacteria
Description: partial 16S rRNA
Rfam family: Bacterial small subunit ribosomal RNA
Source: RNAcentral
UAGGGAAUCUUCCACAAUGGGCGAAAGCCUGAUGGAGCAACGCCGCGUGUGUGAUGAAGGGUUUCGGCUCGUAAAACACUGUUGUAAGAGAAGAAUGACAUUGAGACGUAACUGUUCAAUGUGUGACGGUAUCUUACCAGAAAGGAACGGCUAAAUACGUGCCAG